GCCCGUCUAGCUCAGUCGGUAGAGCGCAAGGAUCUUAACCUUGUGGUCCUGGGCUGAAGCCCCAGGGUGGGCG
Ipomoea nil (Japanese morning glory) is the source of this 73-nucleotide transfer RNA. It matches the Rfam family "tRNA". Rfam says of the family: Transfer RNA (tRNA) molecules are approximately 80 nucleotides in length. Their secondary structure includes four short double-helical elements and three loops (D, anti-codon, and T loops). The record is from Rfam. NCBI's taxonomy places the organism in Eukaryota, Viridiplantae, Streptophyta, Magnoliopsida, Solanales, Convolvulaceae.